RNAcentral lists this ribosomal RNA (254 nucleotides) under uncultured bacterium. RNAcentral's name for it is "partial 16S ribosomal RNA". It matches the Rfam family "Bacterial small subunit ribosomal RNA", at positions 524 to 776 of the family's 1533-position model. The record is from RNAcentral.
AACGUAGGACGCAAGCGUUAUCCGGAGUUACUGGGCGUAAAGGGCAGGCAGGCGGGUCGAUAAGUCGGAUGUGAAAUCUCCCUGGCUUAACCGGGAGAGUGCAUUUGAGACUGUCAACCUGGAGGGCAGCAGAGGAGCGUGGAAUUCCGGGUGGAGUGGUGAAAUGCGUAGAGAUCCGGAGGAACACCAGAGGCGAAAGCGGCGCUCUGGGCUGAUCCUGACGCUGAAGCGCGAAAGCCAGGGGAGCGAACAGG